RNAcentral lists this ribosomal RNA (441 nucleotides) under uncultured bacterium. Its description in RNAcentral is "partial 16S ribosomal RNA". It matches the Rfam family "Bacterial small subunit ribosomal RNA", at positions 338 to 795 of the family's 1533-position model. The record is from RNAcentral.
CCUACGGGAGGCAGCAGUGGGGGAUAUUGCACAAUGGGGGGAACCCUGAUGCAGCGACGCCGCGUGGGUGACGGAGUUCUUGGGCAUGUAAAGCCCUAUCGGCAGGGAAGAAGCAAGACGGUACCUGCCUAAGAAGCCCCGGCUAAGUACGUGCCAGCAGCCGCGGUAAUACGUAGGUGACUAGCGUUAUCCGGAUGCACUGGGUGGAAAGUGAGCGUAGACGGCCAUUCAAGCCAGGGGUGAAAGCCCGGGGCCAAACCCCGGGACUGCCCUUGGAACUGCAUGGCUGGAGUGCGGGAGGGGAAGGCGGAAUUCCUGGUGGAGCGGGGAAAUCCGGAGAUAUCAGGAGGAACAACGGCGGCGAAGGCGGCCUGCUGGACCGCGACUGACGUUGAGGCUCGAAAGCGUGGGGAGCGAACAGGAUUAGAUACCCUGGUAGUC